RNAcentral lists this ribosomal RNA (485 nucleotides) under uncultured bacterium. RNAcentral describes it as "bacterial SSU rRNA". It matches the Rfam family "Bacterial small subunit ribosomal RNA", at positions 28 to 521 of the family's 1533-position model. The record is from RNAcentral.
GAUAAACGCUGGCGGCGCACAUAAGACAUGCAAGUCGAACGGACUUAACCAUUAGUUUACUAUUGGAGCGGUUAGUGGCGGACUGGUGAGUAACACGUAAGCAAUCUGCCUAUCAGAGGGGAACAACAGUUAGAAAUGACUGCUAAUACCGCAUAUGCCUAAGUACCACAUGGUACAAUAGGGAAAGGAGCAAUCCGCUGAUAGAUGAGCUUGCGUCUGAUUAGAUAGUUGGUGGGGUAACGGCCUACCAAGUCUACGAUCAGUAGCCGGACUGAGAGGUUGAACGGCCACAUUGGGACUGAGAUACGGCCCAGACUCCUACGGGAGGCAGCAGUCGGGAAUAUUGCGCAAUGGAGGAAACUCUGACGCAGUGACGCCGCGUAUAGGAAGAAGGUUUUCGGAUUGUAAACUAUUGUCGUUAGGGAAGAUACAAGACAGUACCUAAGGAGGAAGCCCCGGCUAACCUAUGUGCCAGCAGCCGCGGU